UCGAAACAAGUACAACAUGAUUUCUCUUGAAAUCAUACUGAAGUAGCCAAGAACUGACCAGAUGGCAAACCCUAGAUGUAAGUCAACGUGGCCCGGGGCCCUUGAAGGCUUCAGAGAAGGCGAGCAUUGAAAUAGAGGAGCCAUUGAAGGCUUAAGAGUUGAAGGGAGAUCAGUGGAAAAGAACGGAGAAGGGAGUCAGCACUUGAAGGGGAUAGGGUUAGGUUGAGAGUUUGAGAGAGGAGAUAAGAUGAGAGAAUACAUGGGCGGCAGAGUUUUGAAA
RNAcentral lists this long non-coding RNA (280 nucleotides) under Nicotiana benthamiana. RNAcentral's name for it is "long non-coding RNA (NBEN_LNC041280)". Lineage: Eukaryota; Viridiplantae; Streptophyta; Magnoliopsida; Solanales; Solanaceae. The record is from RNAcentral.